UACGUAGGGGGCGAGCGUUGUCCGGAUUUAUUGGGUUUAAAGGGUGCGUAGGCGGUCCUAUAAGUCAGUGGUGAAAUAUCGCAGCUCAACUGUGAGGGUGCCAUUGAUACUGUAGGACUUGAGUGAAUUUGAGGUAGGCGGAAUUGACGGUGUAGCGGUGAAAUGCUUAGAUAUCGUCAAGAACACCGAUAGUGAAGACAGCUUACCAAGCUUCAACUGACGCUGAGGCACGAAAGUGUGGGGAUCAAACAGG
RNAcentral lists this ribosomal RNA (253 nucleotides) under uncultured bacterium. RNAcentral describes it as "partial 16S ribosomal RNA". It matches the Rfam family "Bacterial small subunit ribosomal RNA", at positions 524 to 776 of the family's 1533-position model. The record is from RNAcentral.